CUAACAUAGAAGAGUAAUAUUUAGUAUGAAAAUAUGUGGUUGAAAAUAUUUAGUAUGAAAAUAUGACGUGUACUACUUCUAUAGAUAUUCAUUGAAAAAUAUAACACAUAAUAUUUACUGUAUAUGUGACAUACUUUAGCAAGACUUGAUAUGACUGUUAGGUCAAACUGGAAUUCACAGCCCUUGGAAGCGUUCAUUCUGCUGAUGUGUAUGUGUGUAAGCACUUAAAUGUAAUUCUUAUGAUAUAGACCUAGGUGCAUGGAUACAUAGAUCAAGUGAGGAUGAUGACAGCCACAUCUUAAAGGAACUUGACAUAGAGACAGAUAAUAUGUGGUGAAGAUGCCAUGUAAUACUGGCUCAAGUAGACAGAGGAGGCGCUUCUUUGGGAAGAGAAGAAGGGGAAUGUUGGGAGUGUUUGCUGAGGCUGUCGGAGGAAGCGAGGCUAGAGCUGAUCCAGUCCCAUGGUGUGGUGGGGACAAGAUGGAGGAGAGUGUUCAGCGCAGGGAAGAGAGUCUGUACAAAGGCAUUCUGUUUUAUGUUUUUAAGUGAAAUGUGUUUGUUUUACUUUCUUAAAAUAAUAAGCUAUCUAGGCUUCAUAUGUGUUAAUGUAUUUAGUCUGAAUAAAACAACUUUUAAUCAUCUGAUAUGAUCUCAUAGUUGAACUAAAGAAAAAAUUACUUUUUAUUUUCUCUUUUGGAAGAGAAAGCUAGUAAAGGAAGUGCUAA
Molecule: long non-coding RNA, 725 nt
Filed under: Homo sapiens (human)
Lineage: Eukaryota; Metazoa; Chordata; Mammalia; Primates; Hominidae
Description: HSALNT0023733
Source: RNAcentral